Molecule: ribosomal RNA, 253 nt
Filed under: uncultured bacterium
Lineage: Bacteria
Description: partial 16S ribosomal RNA
Rfam family: Bacterial small subunit ribosomal RNA
Source: RNAcentral
UACGUAGGGAGCAAGCGUUGUCCGGAAUCAUUGGGCGUAAAGCGCGCGUAGGUGGCCCCAUAAGUCCGCUGUGAAAGUCAAAGGCUCAACCUUUGAAAGCCGGUGGAUACUGUGGGACUAGAGUACGGAAGAGGCGAGUGGAAUUCCUGGUGUAGCGGUGAAAUGCGCAGAUAUCAGGAAGAACACCCGUGGCGAAGGCGGCUCUCUGGGACGGUACUGACGCUGAGACGCGAAAGCGUGGGGAGCGAACAGG